AGAGAGAUGAGAGAGACAUGGUCCCUUCUGAAGGGACUCACGAGCUAGGCAGAUAGGAAGCAAGUGCAUUGGACAGAACGUGAUGAGCUAGGAGCAAGGAGACCCUGGGGGGCCUCACAGAAUGUCAUGCACUAUCUGCCAGGAGCCCAGGGGACCAGUGCUGAUGAGCAGGUGGUGUACUGACAGUGUGUGUCUCUGGAUAGGUUGUUUCCCUCACAGAAGGUGGGAAUAGAUGACUUCCCAAGUCCCCGAGAGCCCUAUAACAAGGCAGAGAUUUUACUUUUAAACUGUCCUACUGUUUUCACGGAGUUCAGCAUUGUGUGGAGCAGUGUAUGAUUAUGUACCAGAAGCCCACACAUAAGGAGGGUAAAACUCAUGGUAGAGGUGGGGUUUAACUGACUUCUCUUCCAAGGAGCGAAGGUUUCAGUUGAGCCUCUUGCUGGCUGGGGCAGGGGUGGGACCAGCUCACUUCACACACAGCACAUAGCACACAGCAGGUAUGCAGAUCCAGACAGAGCCCUGGACCUGGAUUCUUCUGUCCAAGGCUGGUCCUGGUGGGAGUCAGUCCCACAGGGGUAGAGCCCCUGGUUAAAGGCUCCUUGUCCCCCUAAUUAGACCCAUUGCACACGCUAGUUCAGGGCUGGCCCUUCUGGGGAAUGUUACUUUGCAAAUGGGAUCUCGGUAGGGUAGGUCAAAAAGCCUCAUUAGGGAAUCCUUGAUAGUGCCUCUUCCCUGUCAGAAGUGUCUGUGUGGGACAUUGAAUUGGGUAGCUUCUGGCAUCCCUGGGAAGUGCUGAGGACUGAGGCAGAG
RNAcentral lists this long non-coding RNA (810 nucleotides) under Marmota monax (woodchuck). Lineage: Eukaryota; Metazoa; Chordata; Mammalia; Rodentia; Sciuridae. The record is from RNAcentral.